RNAcentral lists this ribosomal RNA (150 nucleotides) under uncultured eukaryote. RNAcentral describes it as "partial small subunit ribosomal RNA". It matches the Rfam family "Eukaryotic small subunit ribosomal RNA", at positions 1651 to 1806 of the family's 1831-position model. The record is from RNAcentral.
CCCUGCCAUUUGUACACACCGCCCGUCGCUCCUACCGAUUGAAUGUUCCGGUGAGUUAUUCGGACUGCGAGUUUGGACCUGUCCUUGCUCGCGGAAAGUCUUGCGAACCUUAACAUUUAGAGGAAGGAUAAGUCGUAACAAGGUUUCCGU